This is a non-coding RNA of Nematocida sp., 74 nucleotides long. NCBI's taxonomy places the organism in Eukaryota, Fungi, Microsporidia. The record is from Rfam.
GCUUCCAUGGCGUAGUUGGUUAUCGCGUUCGGCUGUUAACCGAAAGGUCGUUGGUUCGAAUCCGACUGGAAGCG